UACCAGAGGCACUGCCUGCCCAGUGACAUAUGUUCAACGGCCGCGGUACCCUGACCGUGCAAAGGUAGCAUAAUCAUUUGUUCUCUAACUAAGGACCUGUAUGAACGGCCACACGAGGAUUCCACUGUCUCCUAUUUCCAAUCAGUGAAAUUGACCUUCCCGUGAAGAGGCGGGAAUAAUACUAUAAGACGAGAAGACCCUGUGGAGCUUAAAUUAAUCAGCCCAGUUAAUAACCACUAAACACCAAUAGGAAUAAACACACAUAACAUGAGCUGCCAAUUUUGGUUGGGGUGACCUCGGAGCAAAACAAACCCUCCGAAUGAUAAGUACUAAGACCUACAAGUCAAAGUCCACAGUAUCACUUAUUGACCCAAAAUAUUGAUCAACGAAACCAGUUACCCCAGGGAUAACAGCGCAAUCCUAUUCAAGAGCCCAUAUCGACAAUAGGGUUACGAACCUCGAUGUUGGAUCAGGACAU
This 478-nucleotide ribosomal RNA is filed under the name Euphractus sexcinctus. RNAcentral describes it as "partial 16S ribosomal RNA". It matches the Rfam family "Bacterial large subunit ribosomal RNA", at positions 1844 to 2545 of the family's 2925-position model. Lineage: Eukaryota; Metazoa; Chordata; Mammalia; Cingulata; Chlamyphoridae. The record is from RNAcentral.